Molecule: ribosomal RNA, 253 nt
Filed under: uncultured bacterium
Lineage: Bacteria
Description: partial 16S ribosomal RNA
Rfam family: Bacterial small subunit ribosomal RNA
Source: RNAcentral
UACGGGGGGGGCAAGCGUUGUUCGGAAUUACUGGGCGUAAAGGGCUCGUAGGCGGCCAUGUAAGUCGGAUGUGAAAUCCCCAGGCUUAACCUGGGAACUGCAUCCGAUACUGGAUGGCUUGAAUCCGGGAGAGGGAUGCAGAAUUCCAGGUGUAGCGGUGAAAUGCGUAGAUAUCUGGAGGAAUACCGGUGGCGAAGGCGGCAUCCUGGACCGGCAUUGACGCUGAUGAGCGAAAGCUAGGGGAGCAAACGGG